CCCUUAGAUGUUCUGGGCUGCACGCGCGCUACACUGACACACUCAGCGAGUUCCUGUGCCGAGAGGUUCGGGUAAUCAUAUGAGCGUGUGUCGUGAUGGGAUAGAAUAUUGUAAUUAUUGCUCUUUAACGAGGAAUUCCUAGUAAGCGCAAGUCAGCAGCUUGCGCUGACUACGUCCCUGCCCUUUGUACACACCGCCCGUCGCUCCUACCGAUUGGGUGAUCCGGUGAAUGAUUUGGACCUUGACGCGCCUCGGUGCGUUUGGGGAAGUCUUGUGAACCUUAUCACCUGGAGGAAGGAGAAGUCGUAACA
RNAcentral lists this ribosomal RNA (311 nucleotides) under uncultured eukaryote. RNAcentral's name for it is "partial 18S ribosomal RNA". It matches the Rfam family "Eukaryotic small subunit ribosomal RNA", at positions 1470 to 1796 of the family's 1831-position model. The record is from RNAcentral.